AGCAGCUGUUGGUUUGUUUGAUUCGAAUCGUGUCGAGUAAUUAUUAAAACAGAUAAUUGAAACAAGGCGGAAGAUUUGAUCACCUUCAUGACGUUUAAUCCGUUGGAGUUCGAUGCGUACGGGUUGUUUCCAAUCGAUUUGUCCGUUAUUUCCAGUAUGGCCUCAUCAAUCACCACCUAUCUGAUUGUGCUGAUCCAGUUUAAAAUGUCCGAGGAUUCGGAGAACGGUGACGAGAUGGAACCGGAUGACGACAUGCAGGAAAAGAUUCAGUUUGCUGUCAGUUAAAAAAUGAACAUUGUAGAAGCUUGUUUUAAUAGAGUUGAGUGGAAAAAAUGCUUUGAUCAUUGUUGAAGUACUCGAAU
Uranotaenia lowii is the source of this 362-nucleotide long non-coding RNA. RefSeq lists it as uncharacterized. Lineage: Eukaryota; Metazoa; Arthropoda; Insecta; Diptera; Culicidae. The transcript is spliced from 3 exons. The record is from RefSeq and is a predicted model, not a curated record.